GCGAAGAACCUUACCAGGUCUUGACAUCCUCUGACAACCCUAGAGAUAGGGCUUUCCCCUUCGGGGGACAGAGUGACAGGUGGUGCAUGGUUGUCGUCAGCUCGUGUCGUGAGAUGUUGGGUUAAGUCCCGCAACGAGCGCAACCCUUGAUCUUAGUUGCCAGCAUUCAGUUGGGCACUCUAAGAUGACUGCCGGUGACAAACCGGAGGAAGGUGGGGAUGACGUCAAAUCAUCAUGCCCCUUAUGACCUGGGCUACACACGUGCUACAAUGGACGGUACAAAGGGCUGCAAGACCGCGAGGUUUAGCCAAUCCCAUAAAACCGUUCUCRGUUCGGAUUGUAGGCUGCAACUCGCCUACAUGAAGCUG
Molecule: ribosomal RNA, 368 nt
Filed under: Bacillus sp. (in: firmicutes)
Lineage: Bacteria; Bacillati; Bacillota; Bacilli; Caryophanales; Bacillaceae
Description: bacterial SSU rRNA
Rfam family: Bacterial small subunit ribosomal RNA
Source: RNAcentral